GGCCCUAUAGCUCAAUGGAUAGAGCCCCGGUCUUCUAAACCGACUAUACAGGUUCGAUUCCUGUUAGGGUCA
RNAcentral lists this transfer RNA (72 nucleotides) under Treponema sp. RNAcentral describes it as "tRNA-Arg". It matches the Rfam family "tRNA". From Rfam's summary of the family: Transfer RNA (tRNA) molecules are approximately 80 nucleotides in length. Their secondary structure includes four short double-helical elements and three loops (D, anti-codon, and T loops). The record is from RNAcentral. Lineage: Bacteria; Pseudomonadati; Spirochaetota; Spirochaetia; Treponematales; Treponemataceae. RNAcentral also lists the same sequence under 2 other names.